AGCCUGGCAGCCUCACCAUGGCCUGGACCCUCCUGCUCCCCCUCCUCACACUCUGCACAGGUCCUGUGGCCUCUUCAGAACUGACUCAGCCCACAGAAGUGUCUGUGGCCCUGGGACAGAUGGCCAGGAUCACCUGCAAGGAAAAUCUCAAAACAAAAUAUUAUCCUGUAUGGCUCCAGCAGAAGCCCAGCCAGGCCCCCAUGCUGGUCAUCUAUGGUGACACAAACAGGACCUCAAAGAUCCCUGAGCGAUUCUCUACUUCAUGGUCAGUGGACACGGACACCCUGAUCAUCAGCGGGGCCCAGGCCCAGGACGAGGCCGACUAUUAUUGUGCGGUGUGGGAGAAGAAUGCUAAAGCUCACAGUGACACAGGCAGAUGGGGAAGUGGGACAGAAACCUCCCUGUGUCACCCUCUCCUCCAGCCCCGAGGGCUGCAGACCAAGCCCUGAGCACGGCUGCCCGUCUGUGUCGAGCGAGAGCAGGGGCAGCUUCGGGCACCUGUGGACGAUCCCACCUGGAGCCCUGU
Non-coding RNA from Myotis brandtii (Brandt's bat), 526 nucleotides. Lineage: Eukaryota; Metazoa; Chordata; Mammalia; Chiroptera; Vespertilionidae. The record is from the annotation of a RefSeq genome assembly.